This 586-nucleotide ribosomal RNA is filed under the name Plasmodium ovale (malaria parasite P. ovale). Its description in RNAcentral is "SSU rRNA". It matches the Rfam family "Eukaryotic small subunit ribosomal RNA", at positions 240 to 780 of the family's 1831-position model. RNAcentral also lists the same sequence under 1 other name. The record is from RNAcentral. Lineage: Eukaryota; Apicomplexa; Aconoidasida; Haemosporida; Plasmodiidae.
AACUUAAGGAAUUAUAACAAAGAAGUAACACAUAAUAAGUUUACCUUAUUUAGUGUGUAUCAAUCGAGUUUCUGACCUAUCAGCUUUUGAUGUUAGGGUAUUGGCCUAACAUGGCUAUGACGGGUAACGGGGAAUUAGAGUUCGAUUCCGGAGAGGGAGCCUGAGAAAUAGCUACCACAUCUAAGGAAGGCAGCAGGCGCGUAAAUUACCCAAUUCUAAAGAAGAGAGGUAGUGACAAGAAAUAACAAUACAAGGCCAUUUCAUGGUUUUGUAAUUGGAAUGAUGGGAAUUUAAAACCUUCCCAAAAUUCAAUUGGAGGGCAAGUCUGGUGCCAGCAGCCGCGGUAAUUCCAGCUCCAAUAGCGUAUAUUAAAAUUGUUGCAGUUAAAACGCUCGUAGUUGAAUUUCAAAGAAUCAAUAUUUUAAGUAAUGCUUUUGGUUUAAGAUGCUUAGACAAUACAACGUAUCUGCUCUUUGCAUUCCUUAUCCAAAAUGUGUUCUUAUUAUAAAAAGGAUUCUUUUUAAAAUCUCCUUUACUUUCUUGUACUGGAGAUUUUGUUACUUUGAGUAAAUUAGAGUGUUCAAAG